This 28-nucleotide non-coding RNA is filed under the name Bombyx mori (domestic silkworm). Lineage: Eukaryota; Metazoa; Arthropoda; Insecta; Lepidoptera; Bombycidae. The record is from RNAcentral.
UAGUAAUACGUCUCCAUAAAACCCAAGC